Rattus norvegicus (Norway rat) is the source of this 424-nucleotide non-coding RNA. Lineage: Eukaryota; Metazoa; Chordata; Mammalia; Rodentia; Muridae. The record is from RefSeq and is a predicted model, not a curated record.
GCUCUGCACCAGCCCAGUGCAGAGCUGUAGACAGAAUGAUCCAGAGUAGAUGCAGGGCCGAAAUGCGCCCGUGAACCUUGAGGCCACGGCUCUCCUUGAGAGACUCAGCCUCAUUGACUGUGAAGCCACAGGCGUGUGAGCUGUCUACUUCACAGGGCUGUGUGUCCAUCGUGUCCACAGGACAUGCCUGACUGUUUUUGGCUUGCCAAUGAUGUCACUGGCUCGCGGUUGUAUAAAGACAGCUGGAGUUAUUCGGAGCCGCUUGCUUAAUCGUCAACAGGUGGUCAGUCUUCACUUCUGCCGAUACUGGACAUCUGUCCUCAAGUUCCAGAACCUCCCAAAGUCCUGCUCUCAGGCUCUUCAGUCAAAAUCUGUCUAGGUUGUCUCUAGUUUCUGACCAUUAUGAAUAAAGCUACAAUGAAAA